CAGAAAAUAGUUUAAUUAAAAAUAUUAAUUUUGGAGGUUAAUGAUGUAGAUGCACUAUUUUUCUGA
This 66-nucleotide transfer RNA is filed under the name Macroxyela ferruginea. Its description in RNAcentral is "tRNA-Pro". The record is from RNAcentral. Lineage: Eukaryota; Metazoa; Arthropoda; Insecta; Hymenoptera; Xyelidae.